Molecule: ribosomal RNA, 468 nt
Filed under: uncultured bacterium
Lineage: Bacteria
Description: partial 16S ribosomal RNA
Rfam family: Bacterial small subunit ribosomal RNA
Source: RNAcentral
GACGAACGCUGGCGGCGUGCUUAACACAUGCAAGUCGAACGGAAAGGCCCUGCUUUUGCGGGGUGCUCGAGUGGCGAACGGGUGAGUAACACGUGAGUAACCUGCCCUUGACUUUGGGAUAACUUCAGGAAACUGGGGCUAAUACCGGAUAGGAGCUCCUGCUGCAUGGUGGGGGUUGGAAAGUUUCGGCGGUUGGGGAUGGACUCGCGGCUUAUCAGCUUGUUGGUGGGGUAGUGGCUUACCAAGGCUUUGACGGGUAGCCGGCCUGAGAGGGUGACCGGCCACAUUGGGACUGAGAUACGGCCCAGAGUCCUACGGUAGGCAGCAGUGGGGAAUAUUGCACAAUGGGCGGAAGCCUGAUGCAGAAACGCCGCGUGCGGGAUGACGGCUUUCGGGGUGUAAACCGCUUUCGCCUGUGACGAAGCGUGAGUGACGGUAAUGGGUAAAGAAGCACCGGCUAACUACGUG